This 56-nucleotide transfer RNA is filed under the name Alligator mississippiensis (American alligator). It matches the Rfam family "tRNA", at positions 8 to 63 of the family's 71-position model. From Rfam's summary of the family: Transfer RNA (tRNA) molecules are approximately 80 nucleotides in length. Their secondary structure includes four short double-helical elements and three loops (D, anti-codon, and T loops). Lineage: Eukaryota; Metazoa; Chordata; Crocodylia; Alligatoridae. The record is from Rfam by way of RNAcentral.
UGGUUUAGUAGUAGAAUUCUUGUUUACUAGACAGGAGACCUGGGUUUGAUUCCCAG